UACGUAGGGUGCAAGCGUUGUCCGGAAUUAUUGGGCGUAAAGAGCUCGUAGGCGGUCUGUCGCGUCGGAUGUGAAAACCCAGGGCUCAACCCUGGGCCUGCAUUCGAUACGGGCAGACUAGAGUACGGCAGGGGAGACUGGAAUUCCUGGUGUAGCGGUGAAAUGCGCAGAUAUCAGGAGGAACACCGGUGGCGAAGGCGGGUCUCUGGGCCGAAACUGACGCUGAGGAGCGAAAGCGUGGGGAGCGAACAGG
This 253-nucleotide ribosomal RNA is filed under the name uncultured bacterium. Its description in RNAcentral is "partial 16S ribosomal RNA". It matches the Rfam family "Bacterial small subunit ribosomal RNA", at positions 524 to 776 of the family's 1533-position model. The record is from RNAcentral.